RNAcentral lists this long non-coding RNA (1018 nucleotides) under Brassica rapa (field mustard). RNAcentral describes it as "long non-coding RNA (BRAP_LNC003005)". Lineage: Eukaryota; Viridiplantae; Streptophyta; Magnoliopsida; Brassicales; Brassicaceae. The record is from RNAcentral.
AUCUAUACAAAGAAUCCUCAAUGGUAUGCAUUAUAAUUGUAUAAGAAAUGAAAUACGGCGAAAAUAAUCGAUGUUUUGAAACCCCAAACCCUGGUUCCUCGGAAUUUCCUCGGUAAAUUCCGAGGAAAUUCCGAGGAAACCUGGUUCCUCGGAAUAUUUUCAUUUAACCGGGUAAACCAAGCCGCCAAAUAUUUCGCGAAAAUUGAAUUAAUGAUUUCCGAGGAAAUUCCGACGGAUAUAGUAAAUAUUUCCGAGGAAAUUCCGACGGAUAAUUUCCGUCGGACCCCUCAUUUUAUUAGGUCGAGCCCGACCUUCUUCCCCAUUUCUCUCCGCCGCAAUCUCUCUUUCUCCUGCGAUUUCGUCGACUCCUCUCUUCUCCCUUGCGAUUUGCGGCGCUUUCUCUCUUCUCCCUCGCGAUUUCCACCCUAAUCCUCAUGUAUGAACCCUAUCCCACUCUUUUAGGUUAGAUUUGUAUGGUUUUUAAGUAGAUUUGAUGAUUUUGGAAUGAGAUUUAUAGAUUUUGUUAGGGUGAAUGGUAGAUUUAUAGAUUUUGUUAGGGUGAAUGGUAGAUUUGAUUUGUAUCACUUGAUUUGAAUUUUUUUUUUUAGUUUUUAUUAAUUUUGUGGUUAUAAAAAUCGAAUUUGUAAUUAUAUAUAUAUACUGAAACCGUUUUUUGUAUAUAAAAUCUAUUUUUUGCAUUUUAAAUUCAUUUAUAUAUUUAUUAAACAUUUUUAAAAUCUAUAAAACUUUUUUUAAGAUUAAAAAUCAUAUAUAUAAUAUUUAAAAUCAUUUUUUUGUGGUUAUAAAACGUUUUAUGUAUUUUAUAUAUAAAAUAUAAAUUUCUAUAUUUAUUAAACAUUUUUAAUAUUAUGAAAACUAUUUUUUGUAAUUAUUUAACAUUUUAAAUAUUUUUAAAACUAUUUUUUGUAAUUAUUAACUGUUUUUGUGAUUUAUUUAAACUAUUUUUUUAAUUUUUAUACUAUUUUAUAUUUAUUAAAACUAAUUUUGUAUUUAUAAA